UACGUAGGGGGCUAGCGUUGUCCGGAAUCAUUGGGCGUAAAGAGCGUGUAGGCGGCCCGGUAAGUCCGCUGUGAAAGUCGGGGGCUCAACCCUCGAAUGCCGGUGGAUACUGUCGGGCUAGAGUGCGGAAGAGGCGAGUGGAAUUCCUGGUGUAGCGGUGAAAUGCGCAGAUAUCGGGAGGAACACCAAUGGCGAAGGCAGCUCGCUGGGACGGUACUGACGCUGAGACGCGAAAGCGUGGGGAGCAAACAGG
RNAcentral lists this ribosomal RNA (253 nucleotides) under uncultured bacterium. RNAcentral's name for it is "partial 16S ribosomal RNA". It matches the Rfam family "Bacterial small subunit ribosomal RNA", at positions 524 to 776 of the family's 1533-position model. The record is from RNAcentral.